This 489-nucleotide long non-coding RNA is filed under the name Setaria italica (foxtail millet). RNAcentral's name for it is "long non-coding RNA (SITA_LNC005169)". The record is from RNAcentral. Lineage: Eukaryota; Viridiplantae; Streptophyta; Magnoliopsida; Poales; Poaceae.
GAGUUGAUAUUUUUAUUUUGGAUCAAGCUGGAGUCUACCAGCAGCAUGAAUUUACCAAGCAUGUCACAGCGAAAGAGUCUGGCUCAAUGGUUAAAAAAGAACACUAAAAGCAACAUUGCCCUACAGAAUUUUGCUUUGGCGUGCAGCAUGAUGAAGAUGAAGGCAAAUCAAGUGAAAAUCUUUAGCAAAACAGAAGAGUGGAGACAGGAUUGUACAAAAACAAAUGAAAAAAGGCUCAGGUAGUCCCCUAGUUAUUCAGGGUACACCACUUCCAUUCAUUAACGCUUUAGUCUUUUGUACGUCCUUGUCGGUAAUACUCUGUUUACUUGAGGAGGUUCAGAAAAGGACUACACAGCAAGGAACCUCCAGAACAGUUCAUAAUGUACAUUUGCGCAGGUAUAUCAGUGCAACUGGACCGUGAUGCGGUGUCAUACAGUGCUGUUUGCAGGCAGGGGAACAACACCAUCGAAGAAAUCCCCAAAGUAGUGG